RNAcentral lists this ribosomal RNA (498 nucleotides) under uncultured bacterium. RNAcentral describes it as "partial 16S ribosomal RNA". It matches the Rfam family "Bacterial small subunit ribosomal RNA", at positions 899 to 1397 of the family's 1533-position model. The record is from RNAcentral.
ACUCAAAUGAAUAGACGGGAGAGCGCACAACCAGUGGAGCAUGUGGUUCAAUUCGAGACGAAACGAAGAACCUUACCCGGGUUUGACAUGUUAUCGUUUAGACCACUAGAAAUAGAGGUUCAUCUUAUUGAAAAAUGAGAUGAUAACACAGGUGUUGCAUGGCUGUCGUCAGCUCGUGUCGUGGGAUGUUCCCUUCAGUGGGGUAACGAGCGCAACCCCUGCCAUAUAUUAAAUAUUUAUAUGGGACUUUUCAUCCUUGUGAUGAAAGGAAGCGGGGACGACGUCAAGUCAGCAUGACCCUUAUGUCCGGGGCUACACACAUGCUACAAUGAGGCCAACAAUGGGUUGCCAAGCCGUAAGGCGGAGCUAAUCCCAUCAAAUGGCCUCUCAGUGGGGAUUGAGGGCUGCAACUUGCCCUCAUGAACGCGGAAUUGGUAGUAAUCGCAAGUCAGCUAUAUUGCGGUGAAUACGUUCUCGCUCUUUGUACACACCGCCCGU